This 385-nucleotide ribosomal RNA is filed under the name uncultured bacterium. RNAcentral's name for it is "bacterial SSU rRNA". It matches the Rfam family "Bacterial small subunit ribosomal RNA", at positions 28 to 416 of the family's 1533-position model. The record is from RNAcentral.
GACGAACGCUGGCGGCGUGCUUAACACAUGCAAGUCGAGCGGUAAGGCCCUUUCGGGGGUACACGAGCGGCGAACGGGUGAGUAACACGUGGGUGACCUGCCCUUAGCUCUGGGAUAAGCCUGGGAAACUGGGUCUAAUACCGGAUAUGACUCCAUGACGCAUGUUGUGGGGUGGAAAGCCUUGUGCGGCUAGGGAUGGGCCCGCGGCCUAUCAGCUUGUUGGUGGGGUGAUGGCCACCAAGGCGACGACGGGUAGCCGGCCUGAGAGGGCGACCGGCCACACUGGGACUGAGACACGGCCCAGACUCCUACGGGAGGCAGCAGUGGGGAAUCUUGCGCAAUGGGCGAACGCCUGACGCAGCGACGCCGCGUGGGGAUGACGGCC